This 224-nucleotide long non-coding RNA is filed under the name Mytilus galloprovincialis (Mediterranean mussel). Lineage: Eukaryota; Metazoa; Mollusca; Bivalvia; Mytilida; Mytilidae. The record is from RNAcentral.
UGGGGGUUUUACGUGCAACAUGGCUUUCAUAGUCUUGAAAAACCUUCAAGGAGGCCUUCAAAUGUAUUUUAAUGUUGUUAUUUGGCUGCUUCAUACUUUUAAAAGCCUAAAGCCAUUGUAAGAUUAACUGUUAUAAUUGUGGACACAAUUGUUCUUUUAAAAUUUCCAUUUGGGAGCUUUCAUGGGGGAAAUCCCUCGCAAAUAGUGACAGUUGGCAGGUUUGA